Molecule: microRNA precursor, 184 nt
Filed under: Oryza sativa Indica Group (long-grained rice)
Lineage: Eukaryota; Viridiplantae; Streptophyta; Magnoliopsida; Poales; Poaceae
Description: MIR812 microRNA precursor family
Rfam family: MIR812 microRNA precursor family
Source: Rfam by way of RNAcentral
AAAAAGGCAAACCGUGGGUUUUCGUGCCAACGUUUGACUGUCCAUAAAAAAUUUUAUAAUUAUUAUUUUCAUUGUCGUUAGAUAUAAAACAUGAUUAAUACUUUAUGCGUGACUUAUUUUUUUAAUUUUUUCAAAUAGGACGGAUAGUUAAACGUUGGACACGGAAAUCAGGGUUUGUCUUUUU